This 3390-nucleotide long non-coding RNA is filed under the name Homo sapiens (human). RNAcentral's name for it is "HSALNT0195833". The record is from RNAcentral. Lineage: Eukaryota; Metazoa; Chordata; Mammalia; Primates; Hominidae.
GCUGAAGACAGGCCAGGGUGCUCAGACAUCACCUGGGGGACCGCGGAGGAUGAGGAAACUAAUCAGAUAUCGAGGGUGAUCAGAAAUCGAAGAUGGGUGGUUGCUACUAAACAGACUUAGCAGAGUUCAUGCCAAAACUGAAUUUUUCUUUCUUUCUUUUCUUUUUUUUUUUUGAGACAGAGUCUCACUCUGUCCCCCAGGCUAGAGCGCAGUUGCGCCAUCUCCGCUCACUGCAACCUCCGCCUUCCAGGUUCAAGCGAUUCUUCUGCCUCAGACUCCCGAGUAGCUGGGAUUAUAGGCACCCGCCAUCGUGCCCGGCUAAUUUUUGUAUUUUUUAGUAGAGUUGGAUUUCACCAUCUUGGCCAGGCUGGUCUUGAACUCCUGACCUCAUGAUCCACCUGCCUCCACCUCCCAAAGUGCUGGGAUUACAGACGUGAGCCACCUCGCCUGGCCCAAAACUGAAUUUUUAUAAGGAACCUCACUGAUGGGCUUAGGAGAAGAUUCAGAAAUCCGAUUAAUGUUUGGUCAAUCAAAGCAUCUUUAUAGGCAGUAACAUUAUUCCCAGGCACCUCCAGGUUGUUAGUUUUCCUCCUUAUAAACGGACAUAACAGUAGCCAACUCACAGAUGUACCAUGAAGAAUACAUGAGACCCCCCCUACAAUGACACUAAUGGAAUUCCCAGCAUACUCGGCUCCAUGAAAGCAGGACCCUUGGGAGUCCUGUUCACAGUAGCAUCCCCAGCGCCUAGAGGGAGCCUGCUGCACUGUAGAAGCCCAGCAUAUCUUGGAUGAGUAGAUGAUGUCGUAUCAGCAACCCUGGGUCUGAAUUGCCAACUCCCACUGGGUAGACUCUACAUGCAGUAACAACAUCAACAUAUUAACUAAUUUCUGCAGUCCAUAGAAGGUGCCGGGCACCAAGGUUUCCCAAGCGUGCUCUUUUUAAUUUUCAUCACAGCCCCCUAGAGGUUUUAUACUAUCAUUAUUCCCUUUUUACAGAUGAGGAAACUGAGGCAAAAGACAUGAGGUGACCUGCCUGAGGCCACCAGCUUAUGGAUUCUGAACCCAGGUCUGUCUGAACUUUAAGCCCAGGCCUCUUUUCUCUGCCACACACCCCAGCAAGAAUGAAUAAAUAAACAAAAUAAAACAAACAGCCUGCACUGGGUCCCUCCCUAAAUGAGCCUAUGCCCUCACAAUCCUGGGAAAGUAACACUUACUUAUUGGAGCUCUGGCUUUCUUCUAUUAUUUUCUCCAAAAUUCUUUCCAGGAAUUGCCUUCCCUGACCACCUCUGCAAAUAAUAAUGAUAGCAGUAGUAAUAAUAAUAAUAAGUGCAUAUUUAACAUUUAGUACCAAUUGUAAGUGCUUUGCAUAUAUCAAAUUAUUUAAUUCUCACCUGAAUUGCUCUAAGGUAGGUAUUAUUAUCCCCAUUCACAGAUGACAACAUCAAGGCACAGAAUGGUUAAAUAACUUGCCCAAGGUCACACAGUUACUAAGUGGCAAGUAGCUGUGUCUAGGCAAUCCGGCUCCAGGGUCUGUUCUUAACCACUAUGUGAUUCUGUUGUUGUGAAUAACAACAACAAAAUGACAGUAAUGAUACCCAUCAUUAUUUGAGAACUAUCACAUCCCAAGCUCUGCUAAAUGCCCUAUAUGUUGUGCCUCUUUUAAUCGUCAUAACAAUCCUUGGAGGUAGAAGUCCUAUUGUUAACCACAUUUUACGGUUGAACAACCUAAGGCCCAGGGUCAGAUCCGGGAUUACUGGCUGCAAAGCCUGUACCUUCAGCAGCCCAGGGAGCCUGUGCCACCUGACCCCUGGUGUAUGCCCAGCCAGAGCACUGGCCUUCCAAACCCAGAUCUACCGGCAGAACACAGCUGAACUUCAGGUCACUGGACCACCUCUUCCCCCACCUUCUUGCUGGGCUUCUCUCUCUGAAACCUUCUUCAGCCCUUCCAAACUUUCUCAGCAGAACAAAUGACACCAGGAACACGCUGACAUUUGGGAGAGUGACGACUGCCUGGAAGGAGCUAUCACACAUCGAGCAGAGGAUCCUUACAUGUUAUUAAUGUGAAAGCCACUUGGAGCUAGGGCAGGGGUGGGGGCCCCGCAAGCUCAAUGGGAGCUCCUCUCUGCUGCAGGUGCCGCCAACAGAAGGGAGUCAGGGCUCAGCUAUGGGACGGAGAGGAUCAUCCUGCCCUCUCUCCACCCAUCCUCAAGGAGGGACAUCCCCAGCCGGGCUCUCAGGGGCUCUAUUUCUUAUACCUGAGCCUAAAUCAAGGCCUCUGGGAUCUUUCAUGGUCCAAAUACUUAUUCCAGGUUCAGGGAACCAAUAUCUCAACUAACCAGAAUUUUCAGGAAGUGACCGGGCUGCUAUUUCCCACUUAAGAAAGACAGUAAAACAUAGUGGGUAGGAACUCGACCAGAUAUGGAUUUGAAUCCCAUUAGCUCUGCUGCUCUGGGCAAGGAACUUAGUCUCUCUGAACCUCUGUCUUGUCAUCUGUAAAAUGGAGAUGAUCUCAAGACCCAUCUCCUUGAGUAAUUGUCAGCAUAGAUUAUCAGGGAAAAUGGUCUGGGAGGUGAGCGUGCCCUUGAUCACAUUGGACCUUGCAGACUCUAUUAAGAGGUUAGACUUUGUCCCGAGCACACUGAAGAACCAUUGAACUGUUUGGAGGAGGAGAGUGCUGUGAUGAGAACUGAGUUCCAGGAAAAUCAUCGUCUGCUUUUGGAGAAGAUCUUUUGGGGGCUUUAGGGAGACCAGUUAGGAGGCUGUUGUAGUGGUCCCAGUGAAAUGGCAACCUUGGCUGGGUUGUUGGCUGAGGAGCGGUAAAGCGUGGAUAAAAUCAUGAUCUAUUAAAGAAGCAGGAGCAUUUUGAGUGCUGAUUGCGAUGAGAGGGGGAGAGAAGUUUGGAUCAAAUGAAUGUCUCGGUUUUCAGACCUUUCAACGGGGUGAAUGGUGGUGCCACUCAGUGAACAUGUGAGGAGGAGCAGAUGCGGGGAGUGGGAGACACAGUCUGUUCAUUUACUCACGGAUUCAUUCAUUCCAUAAUUGUUACGUUCUCACUUGGAAAGCACUAGCCGAGGGGCUAGAGAUGAAGCAGUAAAUGAGGCAAAAGUCCCUGCUUUCAUGUGUAUCAAUAAACGGAUUGUAAAAGGAAAAUAAAUCUCGGGUCCCCCAAAUCACUAAGCUAAAGGGAAAAGUCAAGCUGUGAACAGCUGAGGGCAAACCUGCCUUCCAUUCUAUUCGAAGUCACCCCUCUGCUCACUGACUGAGAUAUAUACAUAUCUGAUUGCCUUCUUUGGAGAGGCUAAUCAGAAACUGGAAGGAAUGCAACCAUUUGUCUCUUAUCUACCUAUGACCUGGAAGCCCUUGCCCUGCUUUGAGUUGUCCCGCCUUGUCC